RNAcentral lists this ribosomal RNA (253 nucleotides) under uncultured bacterium. RNAcentral's name for it is "partial 16S ribosomal RNA". It matches the Rfam family "Bacterial small subunit ribosomal RNA", at positions 524 to 776 of the family's 1533-position model. The record is from RNAcentral.
GACGUAGGGCGCGAGCGUUGUCCGGAUUUAUUGGGCGUAAAGAGCUCGUAGGCGGCUUGUUGCGUCGUCCGUGAAAACCUGGGGCUCAACUCCGGAUCUGCGGUGGGUACGGGCAGACUAGAGUGAUGUAGGGGAGACUGGAAUUCCUGGUGUAGCGGUGAAAUGCGCAGAUAUCAGGAGGAACACCGAUGGCGAAGGCAGGUCUCUGGGCUGACACUGACGCUCAUGCACGAAAGCGUGGGGAGCAAACAGG